UCUGACGGAGCACGCCGCGUGAGUGAUGAAGGCUUUCGGGUCGUAAAACUCUGUUGUUAGGGAAGAACAAGUACGAGAGUAACUGCUCGUACCUUGACGGUACCUAACCAGAAAGCCACGGCUAACUACGUGCCAGCAGCCGCGGUAAUACGUAGGUGGCAAGCGUUAUCCGGAAUUAUUGGGCGUAAAGCGCGCGCAGGCGGUUUCUUAAGUCUGAUGUGAAAGCCCACGGCUCAACCGUGGAGGGUCAUUGGAAACUGGGGAACUUGAGUGCAGAAGAGAAAAGCGGAAUUCCACGUGUAGCGGUGAAAUGCGUAGAGAUGUGGAGGAACACCAGUGGCGAAGGCGGCUUUUUGGUCUGUAACUGACGCUGAGGCGCGAAAGCGUGGGGAGCAAACAGGAUUAGAUACCCUGGUAGUCCACGCCGUAAACGAUGAGUGCUAAGUGUUAGAGGGUUUCCGCCCUUUAGUGCUGCAGCUAACGCAUUAAGCA
RNAcentral lists this ribosomal RNA (492 nucleotides) under Priestia megaterium. RNAcentral's name for it is "bacterial SSU rRNA". It matches the Rfam family "Bacterial small subunit ribosomal RNA", at positions 382 to 866 of the family's 1533-position model. The record is from RNAcentral. Lineage: Bacteria; Bacillati; Bacillota; Bacilli; Caryophanales; Bacillaceae.